This 549-nucleotide ribosomal RNA is filed under the name uncultured Glomus. RNAcentral describes it as "SSU rRNA". It matches the Rfam family "Eukaryotic small subunit ribosomal RNA", at positions 548 to 1098 of the family's 1831-position model. The record is from RNAcentral. Lineage: Eukaryota; Fungi; Glomeromycota; Glomeromycetes; Glomerales; Glomeraceae.
UUGGAGGGCAAGUCUGGUGCCCGCAGCCGCGGUAAUUCCAGCUCCAAUAGCGUAUAUUAAAGUUGUUGCAGUUAAAAAGCUCGUAGUUGAAUUUCGGGGUUAGUAGAUUGGUCAUGCCUCUGGUAUGUACUGGUCUUACUGAUUCCUCCUUCCUGAUGAACCGUAAUGCCAUUUAUUUGGUGUUGCGGGGAAUUUGGAUUGUUACUUUGAAAAAAUUAGAGUGUUUAAAGCAAGCUAACGCUUGAAUACAUUAGCAUGGAAUAAUGAGAUAGGACGUUCGAUCCUAUUUUGUUGGUUUCUAGGAUUGACGUAAUGAUUAAUAGGGAUAGUUGGGGGCAUUAGUAUUCAAUUGUCAGAGGUGAAAUUCUUGGAUUUACUGAAGACUAACUACUGCGAAAGCAUUUGCCAAGGAUGUUUUCAUUAAUCAAGAACGAAAGUUAGGGGAUCGAAGACGAUCAGAUACCGUCGUAGUCUUAACCAUAAACUAUGCCGACUAGGGAUCGGAUGAUGUUAAUUUUUUAAUGACUCAUUCGGCGCCUUACGGGAAAC